This 301-nucleotide ribosomal RNA is filed under the name uncultured bacterium. Its description in RNAcentral is "partial 16S ribosomal RNA". It matches the Rfam family "Bacterial small subunit ribosomal RNA", at positions 509 to 807 of the family's 1533-position model. The record is from RNAcentral.
CAGCAGUCACGGUAAUACAGAGGGUGCGAGCGUUAAUCGGAUUUACUGGGCGUAAAGCGUGCGUAGGCGGCUUCUUAAGUCGGAUGUGAAAUCCCUGAGCUUAACUUAGGAAUUGCAUUCGAUACUGGGAAGCUAGAGUAUGGGAGAGGAUGGUAGAAUUCCAGGUGUAGCGGUGAAAUGCGUAGAGAUCUGGAGGAAUACCGAUGGCGAAGGCAGCCAUCUGGCCUAAUACUGACGCUGAGGUACGAAAGCAUGGGGAGCAAACAGGAUUAGAUACCCCUGUAGUCCCUGUCUCUUAUAC